AUGCACGCUGGCGGUAUGCUUAACACAUGCAAGUCGCACGGACUCUUCGGAGUUAGUGGCGGACGGGUGAGUAACGCGUGAGAAUCUGGCUUUGGGUUCGGGACAACCACUGGAAACGGUGGCUAAUACCGGAUGUGCCGAGAGGUAAAAGAGAAAUUGCCUGAAGAUGAGCUCGCGUCUGAUUAGCUAGUUGGUGAGGUAAAGGCUCACCAAGGCAGCGAUCAGUAGCUGGUCUGAGAGGAUGACCAGCCACACUGGGACUGAGACACGGCCCAGACUCCUACGGGAGGCAGCAGUGGGGAAUUUUCCGCAAUGGGCGAAAGCCUGACGGAGCAAUACCGCGUGAGGGAAGAAGGCUCUUGGGUUGUAAACCUCUUUUCUUAGGGAAGAACAAAAUGACGGUACCUAAGGAAUCAGCAUCGGCUAACUCCGUG
This 434-nucleotide ribosomal RNA is filed under the name uncultured bacterium. RNAcentral's name for it is "partial 16S ribosomal RNA". It matches the Rfam family "Bacterial small subunit ribosomal RNA", at positions 29 to 507 of the family's 1533-position model. The record is from RNAcentral.